ACAAAGAAGGCAUGACAGAACAACAUUAGAUUAUUUGUAACUAUUUGAUGGCGGCUGUGGUUGCAUGAUCUUCCCAGGUUUCAGUUUCUCAUGACAAUCUAUUGCUUUCAUUAUUUUGCUAUAAUUUUUUUAGCUUAAGAAGGAUCUUUCAGUGCAUGGUUGUGAUGAAGAGAUUGAUGAUCAAUUAGAGGUGGGAAGCGGUGAUGAUUUUAGUGACGACGGUGAUAUUUUCAGAGUCAGAUGUAAGUUCUGUACGAUAUUUUCAUUAUUUGGUUCACUCUUUUAAUGACUGCGAGCUCAUGUUUUCAAUUAUCCCUGUCAGCAUCCUGGAAUGCCUUUUAUCCAUCCCAAACAUAUUCACCAGCCCUUUGCAUAGGUAUAGGAAUUUACAUAAAACUUUCAAGUAUGAGUAAGGUGGAAUUUUCCAUGAUGUGCUUUCUAAUUCUUAUACACUUCCACAUUUUCUGUGACUUUUUUCCAAUUUUCUUUUCGUCCCGGUUACCGCCAAUUUCACAUUUAGAAUGAUGCAAUUUCUCAAUUGUUACCAAAUCAUACUCAACAAUACACCACUUCACACGAGGGUAUCACCGAUGGAAAUACACCAACUGUGACAUGGGCAGAUCCAAAGACCUCGCCAUGACUGUUCUUUCCUUCUUGGUUUUAUGUGUUGCUCUUAAAUUGAUUUUAUUUUUCUUAAUCUGGUUCAAGUUAUAAAUGUUCAAGUUAUUGGAACAAGUUGUUAAGAGACUUAUGAGAAAUUUAUUGUAGGUGGUGGCAUGUUCAACAAUGAAAAUGAUUUAUUGUAGGUGGUGGCAUGUUCAACAAUGAAAAUGAUUCUUUUCCAGACAAAAUUUGUAGAUGGUGUUUCAAUGGUUUAGCAAACUGUUACAAAGUAGAACAAGUGAUAUACUGUUCUUUACAGUCAACUGCAAUUAUGGGGAUUUUAUGAAGCUUGUCAAAUCUGACAAUGACAAAGAUUUAUGGUUGUAAUUGUUAUUUACAUUUUUAUGCCUCAAAUUAAUCAACAAGAUUAGGUAAAGUCGAAGAAGAAAUGCUAAGAUUAAUUUAUGGUUCUGUAUUUAAUGAAAAUAUUGUUUUUGUGAACAAGGGGUGGAAGUAGAGGCAGAUGACAUUUUUAAUAUCAGUACUUAUUUUUUUGUAAUUUUUGUUGACUAUUACGCAGGCCUUCAUUCGGUAUUGCAUUCGACAUCGACGUUAUCUUUGAUCUCUAACUUCAUCCUUCACCUGAGGUUGAUUCUACUGAGCACGUUAAAAAAUGUAGCAUCACAUUUCCUACUGUAUUUUUGUUCUGCUAUCAUGUGCUAGGUUUCAAGAAAUCCCUAAUAUAUAAUAUUAAUGUUUUUGAUUAUGAGGCGUGAUUCAAUGUUGUGAUUUGUUGAAAUUGUUUCUAUUUUGAUUUUAAUUUUAAUUUAUAUUGAUGAUUUUUGUUGAUAUAGAGAAUGUACUGAUGAACUACAAGAAGCAUCAUUGGGAAUACUGUUUGCUUCUUAUAGUUCAAGAGAUUCGAGAGAUUCGUGCAAUUCUUACUUCUAGAUUUGGAAAAGAAUUCAAGUGAUUGAAAUUUCGUAAAAUAAACUCUCAGCAUUAUGUUGUUCUUCGUGAUGAAUGAGCUUUGUUUUGCGUAUUGAUAUGUUGUAUCGGUGACUUGACUCUCUGUAUAGGUUGUUUCAACAUAGGUUAUUUUUCUUUGUGUUCUGCUAGGAAAACAACUCUGGCAAAUAUACCUUAUGGUUAUGCAAAAUGAGGGAUAAGUGCACCUGAUAUUGGAACAGGAUCAUAGGUUAGUAAUGCAGACUUAGAAAGUUCGGAAACUUUUAUGUUGUGAUAAAACUUUAAUUUGAACUUUUGGAAAUCAAAUUAUCUUAAUGUAUGGUACGUAUGCAGACCAUGGCGUGUAUACAAGAUGAAUAUUCUAGAUUUCGCAUAUACUCGCUGGUUGUGACAGGAAAACCUAGAGUAAGUAGUUGUUUGUUCGUGACUCUAGCUUCAUUCCCAUGGUAAAUAUGGUGAGCUUAAAGAAAACCAUGCUUAAAGACUGUGAUGUUUUAAUCCCAACAGCUCUCGGGAGUGUCAUCAAUAGAUGGUACUUUGCCUUUUUAUUUACAAACAAAUAAAGAAGCUAUUUUGAUAUUCACUUUUCUAUUCUUUUGGUAUUGAUGAAGGGAAAAUGCAAAUGAUCUAAAGGCAACAAUUUAGUAGAACCAUCCAAUCACCCAACUGAUCCAGGGACUGAUGAGAGGAAUAUUGGAUUAGGGAAACCAAAAUCCGUUCAUGAUGAUUAUUCACAAGGUGAGGUCAAUUUACACAUAAUUUAUUUUAAAAAGUCCUUAAUGUCGUGCUGUUGGUUUACUGUUUUCCCGAUUACCAAUCGAAAGAGAAAUACAAGGCUUGUAGUCUCAAGAAAAGAAAUUGAUUGUAGAGAUUAAGAAUUAUGGUCAACAUGCAUCUUUUGAAUACACCUGCAUCAACAUGAACAAAACCACUCCCACAUGAACCUUAUCCUGUAGCAAAUUAACAACUGUGAUUCUGCUAUGCUAAUGACUCUGCAAUGCUAAUGACUUCACAAUGAUAUACGACAGUGAUUCAUGACAUAUAAUUACUUCUUUGAUUGUAAUCACUUCUAUUAUGACAUGAGAAAGACUUUCAAUGUUUUUCAAUUGUUGUGUAUGUGACUUAUAUACCAAACUUUGAUCAAUUAUGGUUUAAAAUUUAUAAGUUCUAUAUUGUGUCUUUUUGAACAUUAUUUAAAUAUACAUAUACAAUUUGUUUUCAUUCCUAAAGUUAGAUAUUAGAUUAUAACAAAGUGUAAUUAUAGGAUUCCUUAUUGCAUGUCUUAAAACAUAAAUAACUAAAGAGAAUUACACUAUAACUCAAGUUAUUUUCUUUUGAAACAGUGUCUCUAUUAAUUAGUAAUGGUUUUGCUUUAUAGAAACUUUGUUGCGCAUGUGUACUCACUUUUAUUAUUUCAUCUCAGUUAAACUAAUUUCAAAUUUAAGGGUGAUUACCAUAUGAUAUACAAUAAAGAAUUAAUAAUCUCCACGCUUAAGUUCAAAAAGCACUGUAACUUUCAUGGGCUUAAAAAUCAGCAUUUCAAGGGCUAAGUAACAUGAAGUAGAGAUGAUAUGCUUGACACUAACAAAUGAACUCAUACAAUCAUUGGUUAUUUAUAAUCUUAAAAUGUAAAAAGUAGAUAAAAAAGAGCAUGUGUUAGAUAUAAAUAAGAACUUAUAAACCUGUGAUGAAAUAUAAGUCAAUA
Long non-coding RNA from Vicia villosa (hairy vetch), 3277 nucleotides. RefSeq lists it as uncharacterized. The transcript is spliced from 3 exons. The record is from RefSeq and is a predicted model, not a curated record. Lineage: Eukaryota; Viridiplantae; Streptophyta; Magnoliopsida; Fabales; Fabaceae.